AAAAAAUUAAACCAUAGGUUUCUAUGUCCAACUUUAACUGUCUGUCUUAUAUAAAUUUUGUUUUAUAAUUCGUAUUUUUAUUGUUGUUAGAUGAUAAAAUAUGAUUAAUAUUUUAUGCGUGACUUGUCUUUUUAAAUUUUUUUAUAAAUUUUUAAAUAAGACGGACGGUCAAACGUUGGGCACGGAAACUAAGGUUUGUAUUUUUU
Non-coding RNA from Oryza glumipatula, 206 nucleotides. Lineage: Eukaryota; Viridiplantae; Streptophyta; Magnoliopsida; Poales; Poaceae. The record is from Rfam.